UCAACGUCCGAGCAUAACCUCUCAUUGUGAUAGCGCAUCUUCGCCGAUCGUAACGAUCGUCACGAUUGAAACAAAUUUGAACGCGAGAUAUCUACGUAAAGAUUUUGGAAUUAUUUUUAAAGAUUCCUAUGAGAAAACUAACAAGGCUCAUUCAUCUUUCGUUACGUGUCGAGUAAAGGUACCGAUCGUGUAACUUCUGUCAUGAAAGAAGAAGAUUUUAAGAUUGUAAGUGGUGACCUAGUUUCUUCAGGAUCAAUCAGCUGAUCCUUCGGUAAGUACCUACGUAUCUACCUACCUACCUACCUAGCUACCUAUCUAACUACUACAGUAGAAUAAAAUCAAAAUGAUCACGAGAAGAAAUUUCUCCCUUUGCUCGUUAAUCGAACGGUUGGAUGAUUCGAGAACCAGUUCGUAAUCGGCCCAAGUGGAAAACUGGGCUAGCAAAUAGAUAUUGAUGAUGAUGAUGAUGAUGAUGAUGAUGACGUUGGC
Vespula vulgaris is the source of this 489-nucleotide long non-coding RNA. RefSeq lists it as uncharacterized. NCBI's taxonomy places the organism in Eukaryota, Metazoa, Arthropoda, Insecta, Hymenoptera, Vespidae. The record is from RefSeq and is a predicted model, not a curated record. The transcript has 3 exons.